This 500-nucleotide ribosomal RNA is filed under the name uncultured bacterium. RNAcentral's name for it is "partial 16S ribosomal RNA". It matches the Rfam family "Bacterial small subunit ribosomal RNA", at positions 28 to 523 of the family's 1533-position model. The record is from RNAcentral.
GAUUAACGCUAGCGGCAGGCAUAAUACAUGCAAGUUGAACGGGAUUAGUUGUAGCAAUAUGACUAUGAGAGUAGCGCACGGGUGCGUAACGCGUAUGCAACCUGCCUCCAACUGGGGAAUAGCCCCUCGAAAGAGGGAUUAAUACCGCAUAAAAUAGUGAAUAGGCAUCUAUUUACUAUUAAAACUACGGUGGUUGGAGAUGGGCAUGCGUGACAUUAGCUAGUUGGUAGGGUAAUGGCCUACCAAGGCUACGAUGUCUAGGGGGUCUGAGAGGAUGUCCCCCCACACUGGUACUGAGAUACGGACCAGACUCCUACGGGAGGCAGCAGUAGGGAAUAUUGGUCAAUGGAGGCAACUCUGAACCAGCCAUGCCGCGUGCAGGAUGACGGCCCUAUGGGUUGUAAACUGCUUUUGUACGGGAAGAAACCUCAUUACGUGUAAUGAGUUGACGGUACCGUGAGAAUAAGGAUCGGCUAACUUCGUGCCAGCAGCCGCCGCGG